RNAcentral lists this unclassified non-coding RNA (310 nucleotides) under uncultured Ascomycota. RNAcentral describes it as "partial contains 5.8S ribosomal RNA, internal transcribed spacer 2, and large subunit ribosomal RNA". The stretch from base 1 to 102 matches the Rfam family "5.8S ribosomal RNA", at positions 53 to 154 of the family's 154-position model. The record is from RNAcentral. Lineage: Eukaryota; Fungi; Ascomycota.
ACGCGAUAAGUAAUGUGAAUUGCAGAAUUUAGUGAAUCAUCGAAUCUUUGAACGCACAUUGCGCCCGUUAGUAUUCUGACGGGCAUGCCUGUUCGAGCGUCAUUUACACCCCUCGGGCCCUUUCGCGGCCCGGCGUUGGGGCGCUGCGCGGACCUCCGCGCACGCCCUGAAAUCCAGUGGCGGGCCGUCCCGCGUCGCCUUUGCGUAGUCACCAUACCUCGCUCUGGGACGCAGGCGGUUUUCCAGCCGUUAAAAACCCCCCUUUUACAAGGUUGACCUCGGAUCAGGUAGGGAUACCCGCUGAACUUAA